GGAGCGAUAUCGAAGUGGUCAUAACGGGACUGACUCGAAAUCAGUUGUACCUCACGGUACCGUGGGUUCGAAUCCCACUCGCUCCGCCA
Molecule: transfer RNA, 89 nt
Filed under: [Eubacterium] siraeum
Lineage: Bacteria; Bacillati; Bacillota; Clostridia; Eubacteriales; Oscillospiraceae
Also listed under: 9 other names
Description: tRNA-Ser
Rfam family: tRNA
About the family: Transfer RNA (tRNA) molecules are approximately 80 nucleotides in length.
Source: RNAcentral